CAGGCAGGCAGAAUCAAGGACAGGGCAUGCAGGAUGAUCAGGCAGGCAGAAUCAAGGUCAGGGCAGGCAGGACGAUCAGGCAGGCAGAAUCAAGGUCAGGGCAGGCAGGACGAUCAGGCAGGCAGAAUCAAGGUCAGGGCAGGCAGGACGAUCAGGCAGGCAGAAUCAAGGUCAGGGCAGGCAGGACGAUCAGGCAGGCAGAAUCAAGGUCAGGGCAGGUAGGAUGAUCAGGCAGGAAGAAUCAAGGUCAGGGCAGGCAGGACGAUCAGGCAGGCAGAAUCAAGGUCAGGGCAGGCAGGAUGACCAGGCAGGCAGAAUCAAGGUCAGGGCAGGCAGGAUGACCAGGCAGGCAGAAUCAAGGUCAGGGCAGGCAGGAUGAUCAGGCAGGAGGGAAAGUAGUCCAGAGGCAGGCAG
Molecule: long non-coding RNA, 414 nt
Organism: Oncorhynchus tshawytscha (Chinook salmon)
Lineage: Eukaryota; Metazoa; Chordata; Actinopteri; Salmoniformes; Salmonidae
Source: Ensembl